RNAcentral lists this ribosomal RNA (568 nucleotides) under uncultured bacterium. Its description in RNAcentral is "bacterial SSU rRNA". It matches the Rfam family "Bacterial small subunit ribosomal RNA", at positions 357 to 916 of the family's 1533-position model. The record is from RNAcentral.
GGGAAUAUUGGACAAUGGGCGAAAGCCUGAUCCAGCCAUGCCGCGUGUGUGAAGAAGGCCUUUUGGUUGUAAAGCACUUUAAGCGAGGAGGAGGCUACUUGGAUUAAUACUCUAGGAUAGUGGACGUUACUCGCAGAAUAAGCACCGGCUAACUCUGUGCCAGCAGCCGCGGUAAUACAGAGGGUGCGAGCGUUAAUCGGAUUUACUGGGCGUAAAGCGUGCGUAGGCGGCUUUUUAAGUCGGAUGUGAAAUCCCUGAGCUUAACUUAGGAAUUGCAUUCGAUACUGGGAAGCUAGAGUAUGGGAGAGGAUGGUAGAAUUCCAGGUGUAGCGGUGAAAUGCGUAGAGAUCUGGAGGAAUACCGAUGGCGAAGGCAGCCAUCUGGCCUAAUACUGACGCUGAGGUACGAAAGCAUGGGGAGCAAACAGGAUUAGAUACCCUGGUAGUCCAUGCCGUAAACGAUGUCUACUAGCCGUUGGGGCCUUUGAGGCUUUAGUGGCGCAGCUAACGCGAUAAGUAGACCGCCUGGGGAGUACGGUCGCAAGACUAAAACUCAAAUGAAUUGACGG